RNAcentral lists this ribosomal RNA (582 nucleotides) under Salmonella enterica. Its description in RNAcentral is "partial 23S ribosomal RNA". It matches the Rfam family "Bacterial large subunit ribosomal RNA", at positions 971 to 1475 of the family's 2925-position model. Lineage: Bacteria; Pseudomonadati; Pseudomonadota; Gammaproteobacteria; Enterobacterales; Enterobacteriaceae. The record is from RNAcentral.
GUUAUCACGGGAGACACACGGCGGGUGCUAACGUCCGUCGUGAAGAGGGAAACAACCCAGACCGCCAGCUAAGGUCCCAAAGUCAUGGUUAAGUGGGAAACGAUGUGGGAAGGCCCAGACAGCCAGGAUGUUGGCUUAGAAGCAGCCAUCAUUUAAAGAAAGCGUAAUAGCUCACUGGUCGAGUCGGCCUGCGCGGAAGAUGUAACGGGGCUAAACCAUGCACCGAAGCUGCGGCAGCGAACGUAUCACUUAAAGCGAUUCAGCGGGUUACGAUUGACGGAGCGAAGCGACGUCAAAGCGUAUACAAAGUCGAGUCGGUUUAAGGAUACGUUCGUUGGGUAGGGGAGCGUUCUGUAAGCCUGUGAAGGUGGCCUGUGAGGGUUGCUGGAGGUAUCAGAAGUGCGAAUGCUGACAUAAGUAACGAUAAAGCGGGUGAAAAGCCCGCUCGCCGGAAGACCAAGGGUUCCUGUCCAACGUUAAUCGGGGCAGGGUGAGUCGACCCCUAAGGCGAGGCCGAAAGGCGUAGUCGAUGGGAAACGGGUUAAUAUUCCCGUACUUGGUGUUACUGCGAAGGGGGGACGG